Molecule: ribosomal RNA, 88 nt
Filed under: Halalkalibacter suaedae
Lineage: Bacteria; Bacillati; Bacillota; Bacilli; Caryophanales; Bacillaceae
Source: RNAcentral
CCGUUCCCAUGCCGAACACGGUCGUUAAGCUCUUCAGCGCCGAUGGUAGUUGGGGGCUUCCCCCUGUGAGAGUAGGACGUUGCCGGGC